UGAAACACGGACCAAGGAGUCUAACAUGUGCGCAAGUCAUUGGGUGGUAAACCCACGGGCGAAAUGAAAGUAAAAGUCCGCAUUGGUGGACUUAGGUGAGAUCCCGCAAGGGCGCAUCACCGCCUCGUCUUAUCUACUUUGUUAGAGGGGCGACGGAAGAGCGCACAUGUUGGGACCCGAAAGAUGGUGAACUAUGCCUGAGCAGGAUGAAGUCAGAGGAAACUCUGAUGGAGGUCCGUAGCGGUUCUGACGUGCAAAUCGAUCGUCAGACUUGGGUAUAGGGGCGAAAGACUAAUCGAACCAUCUAGUAGCUGGUUCCCUCCGAAGUUUCCCUCAGGAUAGCUGGCGCAUAGAGUGAAACAGUUUUAUCCGGUAAAGCGAAUGAUUAGAGGCCUUGGGGACGAAAUGAUCUCAACCUAUUCUCAAACUUUAAAUGGGUAAGAAGUCUCCCUUGCUUGAUUGAAGGAGAGACAUUGAAUGAAUGUGCCAAGUGGGCCAUUUUUGGUAAGCA
RNAcentral lists this ribosomal RNA (511 nucleotides) under Ironus tenuicaudatus. RNAcentral describes it as "eukaryotic LSU rRNA". It matches the Rfam family "Eukaryotic large subunit ribosomal RNA", at positions 655 to 1146 of the family's 3401-position model. Lineage: Eukaryota; Metazoa; Nematoda; Enoplea; Enoplida; Ironidae. The record is from RNAcentral.